AAAAUUAAAUAAAUAAAAAGGGAGAAAGUAUAAAAGGGGAAAAGCAGCCGUCAUCAGGUCAUUUCUCUUGGACUACGCUCAAGAAACAGCAAAAACACAGACUCUGCCUGAAGCACUAGACUGAGAAGGCGCUGUGGGAUCAGGAGACUCUUCUUCAAACCAAGUUAACUGAUUCAAAGAAAUGGCAGAAAACACAGGAAACACCAGUGGAACUAUGACUCCUCAACAAUAUGUCUAUCCUGAUGAAAGAGCAACAGAGUAUGAAAAAAAGAAAUUCAGAAAGGAAGAAAGAGCUCGCAGACCCGAACAGCUGUUUGUAAAUAAAAGAACAUCGAAAGACGAUAAAUACCAGUUUUAUACUGAAGAUCCAGAAAAAUGGAGAAACUGGAUAAAAGAGGAGUUUGGUGACGAAACUGAGAAAAUAAUUACUUACAAAUAUGACACAGACAAAAGCACCAUAAUGUUACACAGCAAUGGAGAAUGUGUGAUACAUGUUUCAAAUGACGAAAGGGGUGAAUUUCUCAAGUGGUUUGGAGGAAAAAAAAGUAACGUAAAGCAAGAAGAUCAAAAAACAGAAGACCUAAAUGAAAAAAUGAAAGAUUUGACAUUAAAAAAGUAACAAUGAAAAUACUACAACCUUGCUCAUUGGUUGUCAUGUGAUUGUUGGGGUUUUCUCUGUAUUAUUGCAGGAUCUUCACCUUACAAUAUAAAGUGUCCUGAAGCAACUGUUGUCGUGAUUUGCCUCUAAAAAGCACCGCCCCUCCACAGCUCACACAUAAUGAAAUAUUACAUAGUCAAACAUUAUCUGUAGAGUGUAAAUCAGAACUGCUGUUUGUUAUGAAGCAUGUUUGCAGUUUUGUGUGUGUUUUUUGUUUUUUCCUGUUUCUUUGAAUUCACAAGAUGAUAUGUGUGAACAUUUGAUUUACUGUGCUUGGAAAUUUUUACUUUUUGUUUGUUUCACUGCACCUGUUCAAAAUAAAUUUGGAAAUUAAAACAUUAAAAAAAACAUUUCUUUCUUUUCUUUAUUUUCAGUCAUACUUGUUGUAAGUAAUCUGCGAGGGUUAAAAGUGCAGGUUUCAGAGUGUUUUAGAUACUCCAGAUGGAUUCUUCUGUCAGGAUACAGAGAAGCUCCACCAUCCUUUUCUUGAAACUUUUAUAUGAGGGAUAAAUGUUGACUUAAUGGAAAAGGAUAUAAUGAAAUUUCAAAACAAACAAUAAAAUAAAAUAAUAAUGACAGCAGUUUAGAGGCUGGACUAAGAGCAGUGGCUUUUUGACUGGUUGUCUUCUAACUUCUUAAACCAAACAAAGACACAAUACUAUUCAAAUAAUAUAUUUUUUUAAAUUUUAGGAUACGGUGUUCUGGGAAUCCAUCCUACCAGACAAAUCAUCCUACCCGUUGUUUCUGCGCAUGCGCACGACACAAAAUUAAGUGGGAAAUCAUCCUACGUUUGUUAAUAAGAGCUAGAAACAUACUCUGAUGGGUAAAAUUAAGUGCCAAACCAUGCUACCUUUAUGAAUGUGACCUACAAGCAUACUUUAACGGGUUAAAUGAAGUGGCAAACCAUCCUGGCUUCAUGAAUAUGAGCUACAAGCAUACUCUGAUGGGCAAAGUUAAGUGGCAAACCGUCAUACCUACUUACAUUUGUGCUGGAAUUAUUCCGUGACAGCAGAAAUGUGCAUAAACUACUUACGGUAGGACGUUUUGCCAAAGUAGGAUGGUUUGUUGGGGAGAAGCUUUAUAUAAGAUGAAACAAAAGGAAAAGCUGAAAGUUACAACUAAACUGUUUUCAGUAAAAGCUUUUUAGAGUUUAAGUUUUUCUUUAUUCUCAGAAUGAACUGAAACAACCUGAAACAUUUUCUGACACAAAAAACAGUUAAAGUUCAAUUUAUUUUGUACCAAUAACAAAUGAAACUUACAAUGAAUUUUUCUGUCACUUUUUCAAAUAUUUAAAAGAUCUGGAAAAAAGGCGGACAUUGUACUCUGGGUGUACAGAAGACAUUUGGAAGGAUUUACAUCUGAGCUGCCACGCCUUAGAAGAGCAGCGGAGACAAUUGUCUUAACUUAUUGUUGUUCGAGGAUUAAAGGGUAAAACAAAAACUUGUCUCCAGACUUUUUCAUUCAUGCAUAAUUUGAAUCAUAUAUAAUUACACUGUGAUAUAAACUUAAUGUCAUGAAUAAG
This is a long non-coding RNA of Oreochromis niloticus (Nile tilapia), 2180 nucleotides long. RefSeq lists it as uncharacterized. NCBI's taxonomy places the organism in Eukaryota, Metazoa, Chordata, Actinopteri, Cichliformes, Cichlidae. The transcript is spliced from 3 exons. The record is from RefSeq and is a predicted model, not a curated record.